This 587-nucleotide small RNA is filed under the name human gut metagenome. The record is from RNAcentral.
UAUAUAGCGAUGGUGCAUUAUUCUAGUCAUACUCAGUUUAUGAGGGUGGGGCUAAAAAUCCACUAAAGGGCAUAUCGAUGAAGUUUCUUGAAUGUGCGCGAAACGCCAAGUUUGUGUGUGUUUAGGGAGUAAAGAGGUUAGGGAAGUAUGUAAUGGCAUACAUAUGUCCCCUGGUUUCGCGGAGGCUUGAAUUAGAUUUAUACAUAAUUUGAGAGUAACCUGUGAUGAGUGCCAAGACACAAAAAGCACAGAGUAGCCUGUCUUGAGUGAAUGUAUUGGGAUUAAAUAAUUAGUAAAUUAUGUUUUGGCCAAAUAUAUUUUACUGUACUUAUGAAAUUUCAUUUGCAAAAAAGACUAAUAAACUUGUAAAGUAUGUGAAGGAAAACUUCUAGAAUGUUUGCUUCAUUUAGAAGCAUAGAGGUCUAUGGAUUAAGGUACAGAUUUAAGUGGCUAUCUGGUGUCUAUUUUAUAUAGAUAUUUCUUUUAAACGGAAACGGCAAUAGCAGUAAUGCUAUGUAGGAAAUAGAGAAAUUCGACCAGACCUAAACUGUAAAAUUUACUUAGACUUUUGCCAUCUUAAACUAAAA